UAACCCCGGCACCCCAUGGGGAAAUGCUGUGUCUAAUGAAGCCACUGUUUUGUAGCUCAGUGAUUUGUUUCCUUAGCUCUUCCAUUUCGAUGCGGCUCAUUCGGUAAGGAGCUACCGAAAUGGGUUGGGUUCCUGGCUGUAAGUCUAUGGUGAACUCGACCUCUCUGUCCCCUGGUAGACCGGGCAGUUCAUCCGGAAAUACGUCUAGAAAGUCUCGGACUACUGGAAUCUCUUGGAUACAAACUUCUUUCUUGGGUUUACCUAGUUAGGGAAAAUACAAUAUUAAGGCACUGGGAAUUAAGAAGAAAAGAAUUUGUCAUUAGGGAAAAUCAGUACCGAAUAAUUUUAUUAACUUGUAAAUGGCUCCUCGUUGGGAGGAUUAAAUACAAUCUUUUUAUUAAAGCAGUCUAUGGUGGCG
RNAcentral lists this long non-coding RNA (418 nucleotides) under Carica papaya (papaya). Its description in RNAcentral is "long non-coding RNA (CPAP_LNC014226)". The record is from RNAcentral. Lineage: Eukaryota; Viridiplantae; Streptophyta; Magnoliopsida; Brassicales; Caricaceae.